GCCAAUUAAUAAAUUAAUUCCUUCUAUUUCCAGGAUCCGCAACCUUUACAUCCCGGUGUUACACUUUCAAAGCAUAUUGAUUCAAAUUAUACAUUUCAAGUUAUAAAUAAUCUUUUUCACUUGGAUAUAUUGAUUGUAAUUAUUCAUGAACUCACAACUAGACUUAACUAUACUUUUAUACAAUGUUCUUUGACUGUGCAAUUACAAUAUGUCAUUUGAACGCUACCUAGCAUAGCUAGAGCUUUUCGAACAACUUCAAUAAGUACUUCUUCCUCUUUCCUUUGUCUAUCCCAAAUCCUUCGAUCCGCUUUGGUUUAGCUGAAAACAAUUAUUUAUAGCAAGGGUGAGCAACUACGUUGCCCAACAAGUUUAACAGUUAUCGCAUAACACAUAGUUCGCAUUUUAAACACAACUUAAAUAAUUCAAACUUCGCAGUUUAUACAUAAAUUCAUGUUUUUCAUACAUUGCAUUUAUUCAGGCAUCAUAAUGCUCAUACUCAGCAAUUAUACCUACUUCACGCUUAUCAUGUUCCUCAUAUCAUGAAUAUAAUAAGUUUCCAUAACUCAGUCCACAUCAAUCAUUAAUUUGAUUCAAUAGAUUUAUAUCACAGUAUAGCGCAUCUCAAUUUAUUCACAAGGAGUACAUAUAAUACAUGGAGUAUGUACACAUUACAAUUAACAAGUUCACAUAUAAAAACAAGUUCUGAAAAACUUGCCUGUACCGGAGUUUUACCAUUACACCAACUUUUGCGUUCCUUGCACAACCUACAUUAUAUGUGGGAUUGAUAACAAAACACAUUAUCAGUCAAAGUUUGACUAUUAGUGUGAUCCUUAUCUUAACUUAUUAUCUUCCGUGUAUCCUUUUUAUAUCUAAUAAUAUAGACUUUCAACUUCAUUAUUUAUAUAGCUCGAUUUUAUUUCCCUUUUAUCACCACAUGUGCUAGCUUAUCGCACUUGUAGUUUACGUACUGUGUGUGUAUCACACCAUUACAACAUAUCAUACUUGGUUAAACAUUUCUCAUCUAGGUUCCUUAGACUUAGAUUAUGCGGAAAGCAUUCGUUCAUCACUUUGUAACCAUUCACUUAAUAGUACCUUACAUUAAUCUUGUAAUGUGUCUAUCCCAGUUAACAAAAUAAUAAAAAUUUCCAAGUUCCACUUUCACACUUUUUGGGUUGUCCAAAAAAUGUUACGCAACGAUUACAUAUUUGGACUCUACACGAAAAACUGAGCAACAUAUAAAAAAAUUACAUGACGCCCAAAAAUUGACUCGGCGAACCAAAAUGGCUUGGCAUGCCAAAAACAGCACAACCAUUGCCCAGACAGCCCACACACUGCCCAGACUGCAGAACAAAAUCUGGAAAUUUUAGAUUUUGUGAUUUUCGGGCUAGUUUUACGAAUUUUUAUCUCACUCGUUAUACAUCGGAUUAAAGCCAUUUUCGGAUAUGUUCUACCUCAUACUACGUAGUAUUUUUAAAAAAUAUAACAUUCAUGAAAAGAGUUUGGAAAGGCUUCGAAACAGUGGCCUGAAACAGCCCAUACACAGCAGUUUCAGACUUAAAAAAAUUCAUGGUUUCUGCAGUUUCAGUGAUUUUCUAUGCUACUUUGGGAAUUUUUAUGAAUUUUUGUAUUAGGCUUUUAGCUUGUAGAUCUGGACAUGCUUAUAGAACAUAUAUCAAACUAUUUUUCUACUGGUUUAGGUCAUUAAGCAAGCAACUUAAGCUUCCUCAAACUGAUGCCCAAACAAGGCUACUCACCACAGUUUUUUAGUAUUCUUAACUUUGGUCAAUUCUUGCCAAACUCAUUUCUGGCCACUUGGGCUCAUUCCAACACUUGAGUUACUACUAGUUAAGACUAUUUUUAGCAUUCCCCUGACCUUGCUAUGCAUAGAUAUGGUUUUGACCCUCUAAACCUAACAUUUUCAAGCUUUAACCUACUAAUUUCUCAUUCUCUUAUAUAAAUUAGCAUUCCAACACUUGGAAUGGUCUAAUAUACUUUUAACUCACUUUCUUAAGAUGUUAAAACUAAUCUUUAAGCAAAAUGGCAAAAUCUCAAAUUUCCAUACUUAGAAAAAUCUGCAGAAAACUGCAGUUUACAUGAUUUUCUUAGCUUGUUUGGUGAUUUUUAUGAAUUUCUUGGUUAAGCUAUUGGCUCAACCACUUGGCCCUGCUUCUAGAUCAUACUUCAAGGUAUUUUAAUCAAGUUUUAGGUUUCUUAUUCAUUUCAUUUAAGCUUCUCAAAACAGUGCCUCAAACUGGCCUGUUUUCUAACUUUUUGCAAAAACUGUUAUUAACACUUUUAUCAUUUUUCUCCAGUUUUGGCUACUUGGAUAGUCUAGACAUGUGUAUUUUAGUUAGUUAAGGACACUUUUAGCAUCACCACACUUUAUUUAAUCAUCUAGCCAACUUUGACCUAUCUAAGCUUACUUUAGGCUUGAAAAAACUUGGUCUUCUUACUAGCUUUGGUCAUGGCAAUGAUUGGUAACCAUUAUAAGCAUCCAUUAGCAUCUUUAUAUGAGUGUAUUACAGUCCUUUAAGUUCAGGUAUUAAAAAUUACACAAAACAGUCCACUUUUGGGCUUAAAAUGUGAUUUUUCACAAGUCUAAUGCUCAAAACAGCUUAGGCUUGGUUUCUUUAGCUUGUGUAGCUUACUUAUGCCAUAUUAUAACUAUUGAAACUUGCCUAUAUGGUCCAGGUAUGGUGGUUCUUCACUUAGGUGCUAAUUUCUAUUUUAAAGCUUACUUUCAUUGGUUUUUAGAUAUGAAUUUGAACCACACAUAACAUAGACCUUAAUUAAAUUAAGGAACACCUUUUAAAUACCCCUUAUGGACAUUUCAUGGUCUCUUUACUGACUCAUAAGUUCAGGUACUGAACUUGACCAAAACAGUCCCCAAAUUUGGAUUUUUAGCACAGUUUUGCCUAUUAAAUAUUAAACAGUUCCAUAACAAGACUAAGGGAACUUCUAGGCAUUCAAAUAAACUUCACACAUCAUUAAAACUUAUCACCAUGAACCUUAAUAAGCUUGCACAGUCAGUCUAAUAUCUGACACCAAAACAGUGCACACACACAAGGCACUUUAGGCAUGGUUUUAACACCUCAAGUUCAGGUUCUGGCCUUUUAAUUCAUUGAGACACAUGUAUUUUGAUCACAUGAGACUUAUUAUUUCAUAACCUUGCCUUGUAUAAUAGCUUAGCAUAUUUUUGGCUUUUAAAACUUACUUUACAUAGCAUAUACACAUGAAGCUCUACAAGUUUGCUAGCUUAUGACUUUGCUGCACUUUUGCUACCAUUUCUGGCAUAUUUUUAUGCCACAAUAUAAGCUUCUAUCUAUCUAAUAUGGCCAGGUUUAAUAGAUUGCCAUAGCAGUCCCAAACUUAGAAUGUUAAGCAUGGAUUUGGCAUGGUAACUCAAAACAGCCUCAAGUUUAGUUAAGAUGAAUGUUGAAGCACCUUUAGAACAUGUAAUUGUGAAGAGAGAUGCAUUCACGGCUGGAGUUUAAUCAAUUCUUAGCUAACACAAAACAGCCCUCUUUUUACUUAAGUUUUAAGCUUGAAACCUCUUAGCUUUUCAAGUUAAGCAUAUCCAUUCUCCUUUUAGCAUAUAAGCAUAUACAUGGGAUUAUUAUCUUAGUAUAUGACAUGGUUUUGGACUUUGUUUGCAUAGCUAACAUGCCUUUAGCACAUAGCAGUCAACAUUUAGGCAUUUUAUCAAACAUGUAGAGUGCAGUCCAUAUAUAUACAUAUAGUACAUAUAUUUCUAGCUCUUUGACCCCAGCCUUAUGGCUUUAAUUUACCUAGCAUGACAAAAACAAAUCAUAGCCACAAUUAGGCCUUAUGGCAGUUAACAUAUCAACAAGAAAUUUAGAAUAUCUAUCAUUAUAAUAGUAAACAGCCUUGUAUGGCCAUUCCAGUUUCUCUUCAAAAUUGAAGUGGGAAUGAAAUGAAUAAGGAUCUAAAUUAACUCACCCUUGAUAACUUGAUGAUUGGGUUGGCUUUGUUGCUGAUAAUCUCCUCCCUCUCCAACUGGAAUCACUUUCUCUUCUUCACUAAAUAUGCUUUUGGAGCUCAAAUAAGUGGUGUAACCAUCUGAACUUGGGUGAAACAUUGGGGUUAUAUGGUUCAGUUUUCUAUCUUCAGUCAGUCACCUUCCUGACCACUUAUAAGCUUGGCCCCUAUUCUUCUCCAUCAUUACCCUACCCGGUAUUAGCUUCAAUUCAGCCCCUCUAACUUGCCUCCUAUCAGUCUACUCAUAGCAGUUAGUUGGCCCCUAUAACUACCUGACACCCUUGGUCUUCGCAGUGUACUUGACCCCUAAUAGCCAACCUAUGCACUCUAGGUUCCAACUAACUUGCUAACCACUUGCUAAUUGACUAAACUAGUAAUUAGCUUCUAACUGGCAGCUCAUUUUAACUAACUAAUUGGCUGACUAAUGUUUUAACUAACUGAAUUGCCAAAGCCAUCUAUUGCUAUUUAAAUAACACUAAAACAGCCCCCUUUGCUAUCCCC
RNAcentral lists this long non-coding RNA (4500 nucleotides) under Panax ginseng (ginseng). RNAcentral's name for it is "long non-coding RNA (PGIN_LNC013123)". Lineage: Eukaryota; Viridiplantae; Streptophyta; Magnoliopsida; Apiales; Araliaceae. The record is from RNAcentral.